GGAUUUGUAGCUACUACUGCACCUUAGCCGUUUCAUUUCUUCUACACUAGCAGGAUUCAAUGUGUGAGAAAAUGGAGAAACUCACCUUCUGUUGUGUGUUGCUUCUCUCUUUUGGGGCGAUAUCUCGCGCCAGAUUUCUCGACGAUCGUUUCCCUCUGCCGAUAUCUACUUGGACUUUUCCCUCCGUUCAUGCCGAGAAGCUGAUUCGGAAGCUUAACCUCUUCCCGGAGAAGGAUGUCAACAUCGUACGCGACGGCGAUGCUUCUCUUCUUGACGGAAGGAAGAGGAUCGUCGAGAAACGGUUUAGGUUUCCGAAUGUCGUU
This 323-nucleotide unclassified non-coding RNA is filed under the name Hevea brasiliensis (rubber tree). Lineage: Eukaryota; Viridiplantae; Streptophyta; Magnoliopsida; Malpighiales; Euphorbiaceae. The record is from RNAcentral.